AUACGGAAGGUCCGGGCGUUAUCCGGAUUUAUUGGGUUUAAAGGGAGCGCAGGCGGAGAUGCAAGCGUGACGUCAAAUUUCGGGGCUCAACCCCGUCUCGCGUCGCGAACUGCGUCCCUUGGUUGCGGGAAGGGGAGGCGGAACUCGUGGUGUAGCGGUGAAAUGCAUAGAUAUCACGAGGAACUCCGAUUGCGCAGGCAGCUUACUAAACUACUACUGACGCUCAGGCACGAAGGCGUGGGGAUCAAACAGGAUUAGAUACCCUGGUAGUCCACGCAGUAAACGAUGAUUACUAGCUGUUUGCGAUACAAUGUAAGCGGCUGAGCGAAAGCGUUAAGUAAUCCACCUGGGGAGUACGUUCGCAAGAAUGAAACUCAAAGGAAUUGACGGGG
This 392-nucleotide ribosomal RNA is filed under the name uncultured bacterium. RNAcentral's name for it is "partial 16S ribosomal RNA". It matches the Rfam family "Bacterial small subunit ribosomal RNA", at positions 523 to 918 of the family's 1533-position model. The record is from RNAcentral.